RNAcentral lists this ribosomal RNA (506 nucleotides) under uncultured bacterium. RNAcentral describes it as "bacterial SSU rRNA". It matches the Rfam family "Bacterial small subunit ribosomal RNA", at positions 8 to 507 of the family's 1533-position model. The record is from RNAcentral.
AGAGUUUGAUCCUGGCUCAGAUUGAACGCUGGCGGCAUGCCUUACACAUGCAAGUCGAACGGUAACAGAGAGCUUGCUCCUGGUGGCGAGUGGCGAACGGGUGAGUAAUACAUCGGAACGUACCCUGAAGUGGGGGAUAACGUAGCGAAAGUUACGCUAAUACCGCAUAUUCUGUGAGCAGGAAAGAGGGGGGAUCGCAAGACCUCUUGCUUUAGGAGCGGCCGAUGUCGGAUUAGCUAGUUGGUGAGGUAAAGGCUCACCAAGGCGACGAUCCGUAGCGGGUCUGAGAGGAUGAUCCGCCACACUGGGACUGAGACACGGCCCAGACUCCUACGGGAGGCAGCAGUGGGGAAUUUUGGACAAUGGGCGCAAGCCUGAUCCAGCCAUGCCGCGUGAGUGAAGAAGGCCUUCGGGUUGUAAAGCUCUUUCGGUGGGGAAGAAAUUGCUUCGGUUAAUACCUGGAGUAGAUGACGGUACCCGCAUAAGAAGCACCGGCUAACUACGUG